RNAcentral lists this ribosomal RNA (253 nucleotides) under uncultured Eubacteriales bacterium. RNAcentral describes it as "uncultured Clostridiales bacterium partial 16S ribosomal RNA". It matches the Rfam family "Bacterial small subunit ribosomal RNA", at positions 524 to 776 of the family's 1533-position model. The record is from RNAcentral. Lineage: Bacteria; Bacillati; Bacillota; Clostridia; Eubacteriales.
UACAUAGGGAGCAAGCGUUAUCCGGAUUUAUUGGGUGUAAAGGGUGCGUAGACGGGAAAUUAAGUUAGUUGUGAAAUCCCUCGGCUUAACUGAGGAACUGCAACUAAAACUGAUUUUCUUGAGUACUGGAGAGGAAAGUGGAAUUCCUAGUGUAGCGGUGAAAUGCGUAGAUAUAAGGAAGAACACCAGUGGCGAAGGCGGAUGACUGGACGGCAACUGACGGUGAGGCGCGAAAGUGUGGGGAGCAAACAGG